This 500-nucleotide ribosomal RNA is filed under the name uncultured bacterium. RNAcentral's name for it is "partial 16S ribosomal RNA". It matches the Rfam family "Bacterial small subunit ribosomal RNA", at positions 30 to 523 of the family's 1533-position model. The record is from RNAcentral.
AUUGAACGCUGGCGGAAUGCUUUACACAUGCAAGUCGAACGGCAGCACGGACUUCGGUCUGGUGGCGAGUGGCGAACGGGUGAGUAAUGUAUCGGAACGUGCCCAGUCGUGGGGGAUAACGUAGUGAAAAUUACGCUAAUACCGCAUACGAUCUAUGGAUGAAAGCGGGGGAUCGCAAGACCCCGCGCGAUUGGAGCGGCCGAUAUCAGAUUAGGUAGUUGGUGGGGUAAAGGCCCACCAAGCCAACGAUCUGUAGCUGGUCUGAGAGGACGACCAGCCACACUGGAACUGAGCAACGGUCCAGACUCCUACGGGAGGCAGCAGUGGGGAAUUUUGGACAAUGGGCGAAAGCCUGAUCCAGCCAUUCCGCGUGCAGGAUGAAGGCCCUCGGGUUGUAAACUGCUUUUGUACAAAACGAAAAGGUUUCUACUAAUACUAGGAGCUCAUGACGGUACUGUAAGAAUAAGCACCGGCUAACUACGUGCCAGCAGCCGCCGUAA